This 429-nucleotide ribosomal RNA is filed under the name Chloroflexota bacterium. RNAcentral's name for it is "Chloroflexi bacterium partial 16S ribosomal RNA". It matches the Rfam family "Bacterial small subunit ribosomal RNA", at positions 355 to 776 of the family's 1533-position model. The record is from RNAcentral. Lineage: Bacteria; Bacillati; Chloroflexota.
UGGGGAAUAUUGCACAAUGGGCGCAAGCCUGAUGCAGCCAUGCCGCGUGUGUGAAGAAGGCCUUCGGGUUGUAAUGCACUUUCAGCGGGGAGGAAGGCGUUAAGGUUAAUAACCUUGGCGAUUGACGUUACCCGCAGAAGAAGCACCGGCUAACUCCGUGCCAGCAGCCGCGGUAAUACGGAGGGUGCAAGCGUUAAUCGGAAUUACUGGGCGUAAAGCGCACGCAGGCGGUCUGUCAAGUCGGAUGUGAAAUCCCCGGGCUCAACCUGGGAACUGCAUUCGAAACUGGCAGGCUAGAGUCUUGUAGAGGGGGGUAGAAUUCCAGGUGUAGCGGUGAAAUGCGUAGAGAUCUGGAGGAAUACCGGUGGCGAAGGCGGCCCCCUGGACAAAGACUGACGCUCAGGUGCGAAAGCGUGGGGAGCAAACAGG